UUUCGUACAUAUCUGAAAUUAUUUUUAAAUUUAAAUUUAGUCAAAUAAUAUUCUUUUAAUACAAAGCCAUAUUAUUCUUACUGCAAAUAGUGAAGGUUUGCUUGCAUUUAUAAGUCAGUGGGACAAGGUACAGAAUAAUGACUCAUUUAAUGGCCAGAGCCAAGAAUUGAACCCUGCAAUUUGGCUUGUUGCUAUUUUCUUUCUCUACUUGAUUUCCUCUCCUUCCCUUUUCUCUAAAUUAAAGAACAUGCACAUUUUCGUAUUCAUAAUUAGCUUUUUUUUUUCUCUCAAGAGCUACAGUUGAAAAUGACCCUAAUUUCAAAGUCCCCCUGUUUUCUUUUGGAAAAUGGAGGCAAAUGUGGUUCUUCACAGGUUCACAUUAUCACGGAUUCCAAGCGGCUUCCAUUGUCACUGGGCCCUUAUGGCAUGCGCAUGGUUUAUUUGGUUUGGAGUGGCUUCAGUUUUCCAAAGACAUGGUGGAUUUGUACAAACAGAUCAUUAAUGAUAACCCCAGAACACUGAUGUCUAGAAAUAUUGGGCGGACGCAGCAGUUAGGAUAUUUUUUUUUCCUGAGGGUUGUCUGUUCUUUACAGGCAGGGCUGUCUGGUUGCCACCGGAUUGAAUGCUUCUGGAGAUUAGCCUCUUAUUGUUUGAAUGUUUUCAUAGCAUUGUUGUCAUAAAGCAUCUUCAUACUUCACAGCUGAGAUCUUGACUUCUAGAAUAGAAAAAAAGUCAGGGGCUAAUCAUAACAAUUAGCUAAUGUGUCAACAAUUAGCACUUUCCAUCAACCUGCUCUAAAAGGAGACUCUUCUUAUCCACUUGCAGACAAAAAUGCAAUGAUGUAGUUAAGAAAAGCACUGAAAUUGGCUCCUAGAGUCCCCUGCUGUAGCCAACCAAAUCCCCAGGGCAUUGUUUACAGUGAUUAUUCUGCCAUUAUGAUGUUAUUGCAUAGGCGGAG
This 958-nucleotide long non-coding RNA is filed under the name Marmota monax (woodchuck). The record is from RNAcentral. Lineage: Eukaryota; Metazoa; Chordata; Mammalia; Rodentia; Sciuridae.